CCUACGGGAGGCAGCAGUGGGGAAUAUUGCACAAUGGGGGAAACCCUGAUGCAGCGACGCCGCGUGAGUGAAGAAGUAAUUCGUUAUGUAAAGCUCUAUCAGCAGGGAAGAAAAUGACAGUACCUGUGUAAUAAGCCCUGGCUAACUACGUUCCAGCAGCCGCGGUAAUCCGUAGGGGGCAAGCGUUAUCCGGAUUUACUGGGUGUAAAGGGAGCGUAGACGGCAGUGCAAGUCUGGAGUGAAAGUCGGGGGCUCAACCCCCGGACUGCUCUGGAAACUGGACGGCUGGAGUGCAGGAGAGGUAAGUGGAAGUCCUGGUGUAGCGGUGAAAUGCGUAGAUAUUAGGAGGAACACCAGUGGCGAAGGCGGCUUACUGGACUGUAACUGACGUUGAGGCUCGAAAGCGUGGGGAGCAAACAGGAUUAAAUACCCUUGUAGUC
This 440-nucleotide ribosomal RNA is filed under the name uncultured bacterium. RNAcentral's name for it is "partial 16S ribosomal RNA". It matches the Rfam family "Bacterial small subunit ribosomal RNA", at positions 338 to 795 of the family's 1533-position model. The record is from RNAcentral.